AUUACUCAAAUACACAAAGUCCCUUUAGACACCGAGUGCAGUUACGGAAUCUAUGUAGACAUUAUUGAAUCAAAACUUCAUUCUAAAUUCUACUUUAAUUUUGGUUAAAAAUAAACCAGGCUUUCUUAACACUCAAAAAAUCCACUUUCUCCUUCGUCAAGCACCAUACAGAGUACCACAUCGUCGCCGUAGAUCCAUAAAGUACCAGGACGAACUCUAAAAGCAUUGGUCCUGGAUCUACGGCGACGAUAUGCAGUAAAUAAUAACGACGACAAACUCUGUUUUACACCAGCAUCUAAUACUAGAUACUGGAACGACGGUUGUGUAUUUUGGAUUGUGUUCCCCUUCCCUGACGGUAUGACGCGGUAAAAAUGUCAUGGAAACAACCAUUUUCCCGGAUCUAUCCGUCGCUAUCUGGCACACAGCAAAUCAAUAAUUUUCCACACUCCAAAUCCUACAGAUCUGUGUAUUUCCUUAUGUGGUGUCACUUUGCCGUGUGGUUAGACCAGGACAACUCACAGGGAAAUCUAUUUUUAACACGUUUUUGCCAGGUAGAUAUAGAUUGAAAUCCCUUCUCUUCUUAGUCAGACCUUCUUUCACACUUGUCGGAAAUAUUAAAAGUUUACACAAAAUACUAAAAUAUUUCGUAUCAAUCAAAAUAAUAGCAUGGACCCUGGUAAAAGAAAAUUCGGCUUCACGCCAGAAAUGGAGAAUGGCGUGGAUCGAUCGCUCUUCAUGUUCCUGGCUGUACUUCUGAUUUCCCUGCUAAUGGCGUACUUUGAGUAUUCAGAGUGGGUGGUAUUCAACGAUCAUUCCCCAUCAAAACCAAGAGUGGACAAUGCUGUCCCAUAUUCACUAAGGGGCCAAUUUUACGAAAACCAGGGUGGAUUGGAUUUGUAAACUUGGGCUAAAUUCGUGUGUUCAACUAACGACGUCAAAUAUAUUUCUUACGCCAGAAUUUCAGAAAUAUUCGUCGCUUGGUAGCAUAUUAAUCAUGCAAUCAAUCGCUGCAUUUUUUUAUUAUUAGAAAUAGAAACUUUAAAUCUCUAUGCAAUCUCUUUCUCCCUUUGCGAAUGGAAGUGACUUUGUGUGUGUUGAGAUUCACAGCAAUACUUUCCACUCACUGAACUCAGUUUUUUGCUCUUAUGUGCAGGUACGCUGGCACCUGGCUUCACGCUGCGUUAUGCGAAACAUGCAUUUGUAAACGUUUAAUAACAUCUCUCUGCACAAUGCAUUAUUGCAUUCGUCUUUUGGUGCAAUCAUGCACUUACUUAUGUAUGUAUAUACAUUAUUGUGCAUUAAACUGCAGAUUUCUAAUUCUUUCAAGUUGGAAUCAAUAAAUCGUCUACACUUUCUAUUUGUGAA
Molecule: long non-coding RNA, 1365 nt
Organism: Folsomia candida
Lineage: Eukaryota; Metazoa; Arthropoda; Collembola; Entomobryomorpha; Isotomidae
Exons: 2
Source: RefSeq, a predicted model, not a curated record